Molecule: ribosomal RNA, 468 nt
Filed under: uncultured bacterium
Lineage: Bacteria
Description: partial 16S ribosomal RNA
Rfam family: Bacterial small subunit ribosomal RNA
Source: RNAcentral
GAUGAACGCUGGCGGCGUGCCUAACACAUGCAAGUCGAACGGCGACGCCGGAGAUUGUUCUGCUUGAUCAGUGCCAAACGCGUGAGGAACACGUGAGCAACCUGCCCCUCUUUUUCGGGUAUGCGCUGGAAACGGCGCCUAAUAUUAUACACGAUCUGCGCAGCCGGUUUAAGCAGCUGGAAAUCAUUUCGGUCAGGGCUGCGCUCGCGGCUUACCCGCUUGUUAGUGAGGUAAUGGCUCACCAAGGCAUCGACGGGUAGCCGGCCUGAGAGGGUGGCCGGCCACACUGGGACUGAGGCACGGCGCAGACGCCAACGGGAGGCAGCAGUGGGGAAUAUUGCACAAUGGGCGAAAGCCUGAUGCAGCAACGCCGCGUGAGGGACGACGGCCUUCGGGUUGUAAACCUCUUUUGGCAGGGAAGAAGCGAAAGUGACGGUACCUGCAGAAAAAGCGCCGGCUAACUACGUG